This 486-nucleotide ribosomal RNA is filed under the name uncultured bacterium. RNAcentral's name for it is "partial 16S ribosomal RNA". It matches the Rfam family "Bacterial small subunit ribosomal RNA", at positions 30 to 507 of the family's 1533-position model. The record is from RNAcentral.
AUUGAACGCUGGCGGCAUGCCUUACACAUGCAAGUCGAACGGCAGCACGGGUGCUUGCACCUGGUGGCGAGUGGCGCACGGGGGAGAAUUACAUCGGGACAUGUCCUGUAGUAGGGGAUAGCCAGGUGAAAGCAGGAUUACUACCGCCUACGAACUACUGAUGAAAGCGGGGGACCUUCGGGAAUAGCGCUUUGCGGUUGGUCGCUGGCUGAUUCGCUAGUUGGUGGGGUAAAGGCCUACCAAGGCGACGGCCAGUAGCCGGUCUGAGAGGACGACCAGCCACACUGGAACUGAGACACGGCCCAGACUCCUACGGGAGGGAGCAGUGGGGAAUUUUGGACAAUGGGCGAAAGCCUGAUCCAGCAACGCCGCGUGUGUGAAGAAGGCCUUCGGGUUGUAAAGCACUUUUGUCCGGAAAGAAAUCCUGUGCACUAAUACGGUCGGGGGAUGACGGUACCGGAAGAAUAAGCACCGGCUAACUACGUG